UGAAGAGUGGGGUGUAUCUAGGUUUGAGAAUCAGAUUUAAACACAUAAUCACCAUCUAAAUUUUAGGUGCAUGCUAAGGAUCUAAAUUAUCUGUUGCAUCUGGUCCACAAAGCCAUUUUGACUUACUGCUUUGCUUUUUUUCUUCAGUCUGUUCUGUUCCACCUCUUUUCUUUCCGUCUAGGAUGGAAUACUACAAGGACUGAGGAAAAUCCUUAGAUCUCUGCACACAUGCUAAGUUACUGUUUGAAAUCAAAGAUGUCUGCAUGCUCUUGCAGAACUAGGUCUCUACAUUGCAUUAAUUUUAUGUCAUCACUUCAAAUUUAUUAGUUAGAAUAUAUGUGCCAUAGGUUAAAUUGCUAUAUCAACAUAUGAUUGCAUGGCUGAAGAGUGCUUUCACUUCUAGUGGUUUUAAGGUGGCCUCAUUUGUUGCAAUACUACAGGAAUGUGAGGCUUUUAAAGGGGGAACUCUCAAAGGGUUUGAGCCAUAUGAAACCAUAACCAGGUAUCUACUCAAACUAACAUCAAGACUUCUCUGUAAGCUUAAUAGUGUAAAUUCAGGUGCUCUAAACCAGGUAAUGCAUUGCUGAUUACCUGAAAAUCCUUUGUAGACUCUCAGACAGGCCUUCAUGGGAGAUAGUGCCAGGCAAGUACUAAUCUGAGGGCAGAGGGAAGUCACAUAUAAGUUCCUGGAGUAAAAUACAGGAAUGUUGAAUACAGAACUAAGGAAAGAUGAGAUGAGGGAAUACCCCAAGUGUGAUUAGUGGUGUUUUUGCAUUCAUGUGUAUAUGUAGAGAGAGGAUAAGAGAGAAAGACCGAUGCAGAGUGAGAAGCAAGAACGUGAUGUCACCAGUGAAGGUAAAAGCACAAGAUGUGUGAUAUUGUUAGCAUUCUCGGAAGAGUUUUCUCCCAGAUCAUCAGUUUGCAACAUAUACAAAACCUUGUUCACACUGAAAUAAACUGAAUAUUCACACUGCUGUUAUGGUGGUCAGCAAGCAUUUGUGCUCACACUGACCCUGAUACGCUGCAGAAAAGCACCUUAGGAAGUGAGUGGGAAGAUGAGCGUGCAAAAUAUUUGGAAGAUGAAUAACUGAGCAUGGAAAAAGUGUCUUGGAGAGUAAUAGUUCUUCCCUCCUCCUGAAAUGUGUUUCCCAUGACCAGCAAAAAUAAUGACAAGCUAUGAUUCCUCUGUGUUUCAUCAACAAGACUUGGACAUUUUGUUGUAGGGUGCAUUAUUAGAAAAUAGGUUAUUUAGAUUUUUCAGCAGAUGUCUAGUAAAAAUAGAAUAAAAAAUCUAAUCAGCAAAUCUUGGGAGAUACCAUGAAAUAGAACCCCCUUCUAUUUCACUGCACAGGAAGUGAAAGUGCAGGAGUUUUUUUGUUUUCUUUUGCUGCCUUGCUUUAACCAGUUUUGCUUUUCAUUAUUUAAUACACAGUUUUUACUAUGCAAAGCAGAAUGUAUUCCUAAUUAUCUCAGUGUAAUCAUGUAAAAAGUCAUGAACACAUUAUCAUCUUUAAAUCUGUUUGUUAUAAUGUUUGUUAAAGUGAGUUGUUAACAACCUAGUUGUUAAA
Pezoporus flaviventris is the source of this 1568-nucleotide long non-coding RNA. RefSeq lists it as uncharacterized. The record is from RefSeq and is a predicted model, not a curated record. Lineage: Eukaryota; Metazoa; Chordata; Aves; Psittaciformes; Psittacidae. The transcript has 3 exons.